This is an RNA transcript of Triticum dicoccoides, 2422 nucleotides long. RefSeq lists it as uncharacterized. The transcript has 3 exons. Lineage: Eukaryota; Viridiplantae; Streptophyta; Magnoliopsida; Poales; Poaceae. The record is from RefSeq and is a predicted model, not a curated record.
AUUCUCCCCCAAUCUGUCCGCCUCGUCUCUCCCGUAGCCUGCUAUCAUGGCCUCCCCAAUCCCAACUCUCUUGCCGCCUCUCUCCUCCAAUCCCACUCCCCGGCCUUGAGCUCCACCACCUCCCUUCAAAAUUCAAACAGCGAUGCCGCACCCGCAGGGGUUCCCCAUCCCUUAGACUCGCUGUUUUCUCCUCUACCUCUCAGCAGAUUCAGUUUCUGCUACCUCACUCACCGUCGCCAGUACUGCCGAGUCGCUCGCUCACCGUCGCGGGAAUGAGGAAGCUGCAACCCCUGUCGACGUGCUCGCUCUCACCGUCGUUGGACCGCUUGGAGGUCGCACCCCCUACGGGUGAGCUCGGUCAGGGACUGCGGCGCUGCAUCGACGAGCAAGCGGACAGUUCGUCCCGGUCUGCGCUGCCUUUUCCCCUUCCAACCGAGCACAUCGGCCUCUUCGGACUUGUGCUUUCUAUUCAGUACAGAGAGGCGCCAUGUCUUCCCUCAGCUUGCUGCAAAAAAGUAAGGUCCUUUGCAGUGUUAGUCUCCAUAGAAAAAGUUCUUUUGCGUGCAGUAUGUGUCUUCAUUCGCCUUUCUUUUCAAGUUUUUUUUCUGUUCACAGAAAUAGCAAAAAUAAUGCUUAGUAGGGAUAAACAAGACUUAAAUCAAAUUACAAUAUAAGAAGAAAUUUGUAUUUAUGAGGCCCAAGUCACACCAUGGGGAAUGUAUACCUAGCAAGAUUCAUGGGGCAUCUUGUAGCAACUGAAACAGAUGUUACAUUUUUGAGGCAUGUGAGUAUUUGGAAAAUAUGAUUUAGGCGUGGAAUAAGUGAAACUUUACCUAUGGUUGAUGUGUUCUAUAAAGUAUGGUUCAUCUCCCUGAACAUGAGAAAAAUAUAUCUCUUGGUGCUUAAUUCAAACAAUUGCUAUAGACAUAUGAUCAGAAAUAGGGAUGUGCAAUAUAGAGCACACUUGAAUUUAGAACUUCAGCUUUUUUUGUUUUCUUUAUUUUGUAUGGCCAUCAUGUUGUGGGAUGCUGCUUAUAUGCACAUCUUACAACCUGCUAUCCCUUGAAAGUAUAUCAUGCUCUUGAUGGGCGUAUAUCCUGUAACUGUCAGCCUAGAUCCUCAACAUGGCAUAGCUAUAUAUUUUUUCAGAAUAUGAGGAGUAAGAUCUUUAAAGAAAGAUUCUUUUAGUACAAAUAAAUAUCAGCUGCAGUGAAACCUAUGAUUUGUAAUGCUGAAUGCUCACUUGUUUGAUUUAACUACUGAUCCGCAGUUCAUGAUUGUAGUAUAAUGUAUUCAGUCUGCCAAGUAAGAUUUUUGAAGAAGGAUUUUUUUUGUACUAAUAAAUAUCAAUUGUGGUGAAACCUAUAAUUUGUAAUGCUUUGAAGUUUGAUUGAACUAAUCCUUGAGAAACUGCCAUAGUUUAAGAAUUCAGAAUUGUAUUCAUACUUCUGUUCUCAUGGUCUUCUUUAUUUUGUUGGCUGCAAUUAGUAAAGUUUGCCUUGUUGUUUGUUAGUUCUAUGGGACAAGUGGGUGACUAAUAAUCGAGUGCAGCGAUUCGGUGCCCAGGCUCAUCUGCACCCGACCAUGAAAAAAUUCAUAAAAAAUACCAAAAAGAUUCAAAAAAUUCCAAUUUUUUCCCAUGGUAGACAAUUUAUUGAGUGAGGUUUUCGCUCUAAAUUUUAGCUCAUUUGAACAUCUGAGUAGCUCUCAGCAAAAAAGACAAAUUGGGUCAAAACAGUACGUGAACAGUAAAUUGUUUUACAGACCCCGAAUUUGUCUUUUUUGCCGAGAGUUGCUCAGUUGUCCAAUUGAUUUGAAAAUUGGUCGAACCUCACGUAUCAAAUUGUCUACCAUGAGGAAAAAAAUUGAUUUUUUUGAAUUUUUUUAGCAUUUGUUUUGAUUUUUUUAUUCAACAUGGGUGCAGAUGAGCCCGGGCUUAGAAAAGGAUUUCCCCUAAUAAUCUAAGUACAUUGGAAAAACUGGCCGAGGGGUGUGCUAUUGUCGUGGCGACAAUGUUACGUGUGGAACGCAUAGACCGUGGCCUGCAUACUAGGUUGAGCUACUUUUGAACCGUGUUACUUCACUUUGCUUAAUUUUGGGUGAACGGUGCCGUGGACAAUGAUGGCAAGUGCUUUUGUGAUCCUUGUUCUAACUGAAACCGAGUUUCACUUAUGAAGUGAAAUCUUAAGGUAGUGUAAUGCCAUAUCAAGUUGGUGUGAUCUCUGGGUAAAGUAAAAUGUAAUGGCUUGGAGGCAUGUUGGGUUGCAAAUAGUUGUGCACAUGUCUUAGCUAAAGAUGCAUGUAAUCAUAAUGAAAUGUUCUGUCACUCCAUGUAACUCUGUGAUGUUUGUAGCGUCGUUGAGCAAAGACUUUUGAUAUGGCUAAAUACUAACCUUCUCUCAAUGAAAAUCAUAGUACUACA